This 4452-nucleotide long non-coding RNA is filed under the name Canis lupus familiaris (dog). RNAcentral describes it as "lncRNA (ENSCAFG00845019570.1)". The record is from RNAcentral. Lineage: Eukaryota; Metazoa; Chordata; Mammalia; Carnivora; Canidae.
UUUUGUUUUUCUUUACUGUUUGGGUUCCUAUUGUUCUAGUCUCUUCUGAACACCUACACUUCUCUGGUCCUCCAAAUUCCAUUGAUUUUGUGUUAUUAACAUUUCUUACAUUUUCUUCUACUUUACUGAUUGAAUUUUCUUUCAGAUUUUAUCAUUUAUUACCUCCUAUGCAAAGUUUUCUUUAUUGAAUUAUUUUUACGUGUCAUCAUUGGCUUAUUUUAGUCAUACAUUCGUAAAUUUUCCUUUUUCUCAGCUUGAUCUCUCUGUUUUUGUCCUUAUUCAUGUUUCAUAGAUGUUCUCUUUUGCUCUUGCAAACAAUCAUGAAGUUUUCACCAUUUGUCUGAAAAACAAAAUAUUUUGCAGGCAUUAAAAUUAUUUCCUGUGGCGAUGCCUCCUCUGCCUUUUUUCCCUGCCAUAUUGUUUUAGAUGUGUUUCAAUAUUUGAGAAAGUGCUAGUAGAAUGGAAACAAACCUUGGCUAGUUCAGAAUUGACAGAGCAUCAUCCAAAAUGUUAUGCUUUUCAGGUGAGCCAAAAAAUUCUCAUGUUAUUAGAGGGGGCAAUUGUGUGGCUUUAAGAUAAACUUAUUAAAAGAUAUACAAAUAUAUGUUAAGAGGCCAUUGAUAAAUUUUGUAUGUUUUAUUGAGGCACUCAGCAGUCCUAGAGAAACUAUAUGUCAUCCAAACUGGGACUGUUUUGACAGUAAAAGGAGCACUAUAUUAAUACUUAGACCAGAAAAAAUGGGUAUCAACUGAGACAGUUGUAAGCAAAGUGAGAUAAGUAGACACUCUGUGUAGUUAUGCAGCAAUUGGUUGCAUCUUCAAUAUCUGUGUGAACCCAGCAUGUGGGAAAAAGUAAUUCUUCCCUUCUUCCAACCAUCCUUUAAUCACUUCCCACAAAAGAUACAUUUAGUGGCUCUUCCAUCAAGAUGGAACGUUCAGCAUUUGGACUGCUCUUCUCUGUAGUCUAGCUUCUGUUUCUGUGUGCUUUUCUGAUAUUUUAAUAGGAUGUUGGAAAGGAGGUACAACAGGGAUAACUUGCUUUCUGCCUUGCUCACUGACAAGCCUUAAAGGUUAUAUUUAGUGAAUUGCACCAGUGACGUGUUUUAUUUGGCUCAGAAAGCACAAAAGGUCUUCUAUCCCCGUAAGGAAGUAUGCCAGUUUCUCACCUAGGCAUAAUUUGAGGAACAUACUCCGUGAAAGGGGUCAAUGUUUUGUCAGGUUGAGCACCAUGAUUACUAGUGCCACAGCUGUUAUCACUUAGGUAGGCUUUGAUGGGAAACAUAGGCUCUCAUGCUGGGGAAAGGUAGGAUAAAAUGUGUAGAACAGGUGUUGGGAAAGAGACAAAUCCUGGAUCAGUUGGACCCCUCUGUCAAAAAGUCAAAUAAAGCAUAUGCGAAUUUGCUCUAAGUAGAGAACAUAUAAUCUAGAGGGUGUAAAGAGCUCAUGAUAGCCAGAAAUUUUAGGGCCUACGUAAUCCCCCAAUUUAAAUGUGGAAAUAUCAUGGUUCUGUGUAGUCAGUGAAUUUUAGUAGUUCGUAUUAAUGAGCACUUGCUGAAUGCCAUGUACUGUUAUAGGUGCAUUAUCUUCAUUAACUCAUUCAUUCUUCACAAUAACCCUAUGAGAACAGAUAGUAUUAUCUCACUUUACUUGUGAGGAAAUCAGGGCUCCAAGAGAAUACUUGUGGCAAGCGAGGCAGCUGAGAUUUAUACAAAGGUCCAUGGUGCAGUAGCCCAAGUCCUUAACCCCUCUAUGUGAUAUGCUGCAUUUGUAGUACUAACUCACACAGAUAAUGAUGAUCCAGUCCCUUGAGAUAAGUGUCUUACAAGACCUAAUAGGAUGCCAGGUUUUCAGUCAAUCUGAUGGAGUUUUACGGGUUUUUUGUUUCAAGUUUCUAUUUAAAUUCUAGUUAGUUAACAUAUAGUGUAAUAUUGAUUUCAGGAGUAGAAUUUAGUGACUCAUCACUUACAUAUCAUACCCAGUGCUCAUCCCAACAAGUGCCCUCCUUAAUGCCCAUCACCCAUCCAACCCAUCCCUCCAUCAUCCUUCAGUUUGUUCUCUAUAAUUAAGAAUCUCUUAUGAUUUCCUUCCCUCUCUUUUUUCCCUCUUCCUCUAUGUUUAUCUUUUUUGUUCCUUAAAUUCCACACAUGAGUACAAUCACAUGGUAUUUAUCUUUCUAUGACUGACUUGUUUUGCUUAGCAUAAAACACUCUAGCUCCAUCCACAUCAUUACAAAUAGCAAAAUUUCCUUCUUUUUGAUGGCCAAGUAAUAUUCCACUGUAUAUAGGUAUAUAUGUGUGUACAUAUGUAUAUAUAAAUUUAUAUAUAUGUAUAUAAAAUAUAUAAAUAUAUAUUAUAUAUUGUUAUAUAUAUUUAUAUGUACAUACGAAUUUCCUUCUUUUGAUAGCUGAGUAAUAUUCCACUGUAUGUAUGUGUGUAUAUGUAUACACACGUAUGUAUAUAUACACACGCCACAUAUAUAUACAUGUAUGAUAUAUAUACACACAUAUAUAUACAUCUUCUUUUUUUAAGAUUUUAUUUAUUUAUUCAUGAGAGACAUGGAGAGAGAGGCAGAGACAUAGGCAGAGGGAGGAGCAGGCUCCAUGCAGGGAGCCCAAUGCAAGACUCGAUCCUGGCACUCCAGGGUCAGCAGAAGGCAGAUGCUCAACCUCUGAGCCAUCCAGGUGUCCCAACCACAUCUUGUUUAUCCAUUCAAUCAGAUGGAGUUUCAUCACAGGAUAGUGUUAAUAUCUGAUAAGAGGGAGGGUUAGCAAAACAGCAAAAAUCUGAAGGCCAGUUGUAUGGAUGAACGAAUAAAACAGUGAAGGGAGCACUAGGGAAAACUUGUACUCAAAGGCCACACAGAUCUAGCUAUAGGGCUUACCAAAACAUGCCAUGCCUUGGAUAACAUGACAGAUCCCAGAUCCUGGAUGAGUUGGGUCAUGCUCAUACAUCUAAUGUCAGUCUGGUCAAAAUUAACUCAGGAUCAGGCAGGAUGGGUAAAGAGGUGCCCCUGAUCUUGAAAUUAGAAGUAAUAGACUGACUCAGGGUGCCUGGGUGGCUCAGUUGGUUGAGUAUCUGCCUUCAGCUCAGGUCAUGAUCUCGGGGUCUUCGAUCAAGCCCCGAGCUGGGUUCCCUGCUCAGCAGGGAGUCUGCUUCUCCCUGUGCCCCUCACUCUGCUCAUGUUUGCUCUCUCUCGCUCUCAAAUAAAUAAAAUUUUUAAAAAAGAAGUGAUAGUACUGAUUCUAGCUUGCAGGAGCUGAGAAAUCAACAAUUUUAAUAUCUUCAGAGAACUUCCCUUGUUAAAGACUUCUCUAAAGUUUGAAAUUGAAGACAAAAGAGAAGUCAUUCAUGAGUAAGAGACACACUGGGGCAAUGAAAGUCUUAUAUUGAAACAUUGUUUCAAAUGUUUUGGAAGGAAAACAUUAGAUUUAAAAUUCAGUUACAUCAUGUAAUUAUAUUUAAUAUUGUCUAUGAAUAGAGAUCUAUUUAAUGAUUCCAAGUUGAGAAAAUAAUUUUUGACAUCUGUUUCAAUAUUUUGGCUGUAUUCCUGACAAGUAGAAUUUCAAAGAUAGUUCAGUGGAGGCUCACUCAUCAUGAGAAAGAAAGAAGCUAGAAAAGACAAUGAAUUGAGGUAUUGAAGCAUCCUUUGGGACAUAUGGCAAAUGACUUUUUCUAAAGAAAGAAAGAAAUUGAACCAUUAUACAAAAGAAAGGUGUAUUUGAGGAUCAAAAUUCAAAGCGAGCAUCUUCCCUGUUCUUCACAUUCGGGUGAAGCCCAGGAAAGCAGGAAUUCAUGGAUAGAGAUGGGAUUUCAUGGUGACAAAAAUGUUCAACUAUGGCUAGUCAUGUAGGGGAAGGCAAGCAGUAGAGUCAGCGAGGUAUGUGUGCAACGAAGUAAAAGUUGGGUCAGUCAUGUUUUACAGAUCCAUCCUAGGAAGUGCCCAGGGCCAUCAAAGCCAGAUUGACAUUAUUGCAGACAUUUUCAGGUUUGUUUGUAGAAACAGUGAAGAGGAAGACGUUACUCAGUGUCAAAAAAAUAUAGAUUAGUAUUUUCAAAAUGACUCAGUGGGGUGGGCUGCUGUAGGGGUGGUGAAAACUUUAUUUUCUGAAGUAUAAGCCACAAUAUACAACCCCAUUAAGGUAUUCUCACAUUUUAUCCUCACAACCCUUUGUGGUAGGAUACUGCCAUUAUCUGCAUUUUAGAGAUGAAGAACCUGAGGCUCAGAGAGGUAAAGUAACUUGCUUAAGCACACAUACAUGGUAAUUUGGAAUUUGGUUCUACUACAAAGGUCAGUGAUAAAGAUUAAAUUAACAUAUCUAAAAUGUUCAGAAUGGUGCAUAUUACCUAAGUGUGCAAAGAAUGUCUUUACUGUUGCUGUUGUUUGUUGUUAUGGUUAUUUUUGUUGUGAACAUAAAGAGCUUAAGAGACCAAAAAAAAAAAAAAAAAAAAAAAA